UGGAGCAUGUGGUUUAAUUCGAAGCAACGCGAAGAACCUUACCAAAUCUUGACAUCCUUUGACAACUCUAGAGAUAGAGCCUUCCCCUUCGGGGGACAAAGUGACAGGUGGUGCAUGGUUGUCGUCAGCUCGUGUCGUGAGAUGUUGGGUUAAGUCCCCGCAACGAGCGCAACCCUUAAACUUAGUUGCCAGCAUUUAGUUGGGCACUCUAAGUUGACUGCCGGUGACAAACCGGAGGAAGGUGGGGAUGACGUCAAAUCAUCAUGCCCCUUAUGAUUUGGGCUACACACGUGCUACAAUGGACAAUACAAAGGGCAGCUAAACCGCGAGGUCAUGCAAAUCCCAUAAAGUUGUUCUCAGUUCGGAUUGUAGUCUGCAACUCGACUACAUGAAGCUGGAAUCGCUAGUAAUCGUAGAUCAGCAUGCUACGGUGAAUACGUUCCCGGGUCUUGUACACACCGCCCGUCACACCACGAGAGUUUGUAACACCCGAAGCCGGUGGAGUAACCAUUUAUGGA
This 518-nucleotide ribosomal RNA is filed under the name Staphylococcus cohnii. Its description in RNAcentral is "bacterial SSU rRNA". It matches the Rfam family "Bacterial small subunit ribosomal RNA", at positions 933 to 1447 of the family's 1533-position model. The record is from RNAcentral. Lineage: Bacteria; Bacillati; Bacillota; Bacilli; Caryophanales; Staphylococcaceae.